UAGAGCCUCAGUAUACAAAUAGCUCGUUUCGAAGCAACAUCCAAAUUCCGGUUAUACAGCCCAAAAAUUAUUUGUAAUAUAAUAAAUAUUUGGACAAUUAAAAUUUUAAAAGAAGGACAAAAAGUAAAACAACAUGAAUUCUUCAGCUAAACAUUUUUCGAUUUGGUUGGAAACCAGAGAUGUGGACACCUAUUCCGAGAUUGGCCCCAGCAGUCUUUAGCAGCUUCAGGAUCCCGUUGUCGCAGUGCAAGAACUUAUUAUUGCAAGAAGACAAAUCUUCCCCAGGAAGCCGCCAAUCGUGUUCACCAUCCAGAGGUUCUUCAAUCAAGAAAUGUGACAGCCAAUAUAUGUAAUUCAGAGACGACUAAAAGCCAGGCUUAACUUCCUCAAGACUGCAGCAGAGGAAUCGCUAAUUUGGCAUUGAAAUGUUCAGUGUUGAGAGUCCUUGCUGUCUUUCUUUGUGUUAUGUUGUGUAUACGAAAUAGAAACACUAAUAGAAACUAGGCACGCGACAACAAGAUGAAAUAUUUAUAUUAAAUAAAUGUUAUAUAUAUGUAUAUUGUAAUAUAU
Long non-coding RNA from Drosophila bipectinata, 570 nucleotides. RefSeq lists it as uncharacterized. The record is from RefSeq and is a predicted model, not a curated record. NCBI's taxonomy places the organism in Eukaryota, Metazoa, Arthropoda, Insecta, Diptera, Drosophilidae.